Lonchura striata (white-rumped munia) is the source of this 964-nucleotide non-coding RNA. NCBI's taxonomy places the organism in Eukaryota, Metazoa, Chordata, Aves, Passeriformes, Estrildidae. The record is from RefSeq and is a predicted model, not a curated record.
CGAAUGCGAUAUUCCACACUGCAUCCAACCGGCCCGGGGCAGCCGGGGCGGGGCAGCUAUUGCUUCCAUAUAAAGGACUCCGUCUGCCCGCGGACUGUACAGGCAGUUGUCAUUUAUGUUAUUUUACUUUAUUGAAGCUGAACUGGGAGAGGUCACUGUUAAAUGGCUUCGUUUUGUUCCCGUGUGUGAAUAACUCUCCGAAGAACUACAGUGACCCAAAAGUCGAACUACAGUGACCCAAAAGUCGACCCGUUUACAACGCCCGUCCAAGAGACCUGUUCCUGUCUCUCGGGCGGAGCUUUGCCCAAGAAGGUCCCCUCGGAGGAGCAGGCGGGCGAGCAGGAGGAAAGGGGGAGGGAGGGGGAGGCUCCUCAAUCAGCCCAAGUUGUAUCGUAAUUAAAUUGUGUUUUAUCCUAGCGAGGCAUGCAAAAUAUCGAGCAAAAUACAAGUUUAAGUAAUUUGUUUGUACUCUUACCUGUAGGAGUUGGAAAUUAACAGCCCCACUAGUUUACUGUUAAGCCUGGAGAGCGAGAGAUUGCUUUGCAAACAUUACAGUUAUUAUGUCUGCAGUUGGUACUCUUUGUAUAAAUUAUUGAUCAGCCAUCUUAUUUUUCUUUCUGCUUAAUGGAUAUUAUAGCAUAGCCGUUUACACGCUAUAGUUAAUGUUGUGUCAGCACUUCCAUUUAUAACAUCCCCCUUUACCCAGAGUUUAUAACUCUCUAUAAAAUUCUGCUCUGUGCUGAAACUUUUCAAGCAAGGGCUCGGACUUUUAAAAAUUCUCCUUCACUCCCACCCAAAAAACCAAUUAAUAAUGUGUGUCUGUUUUUUUUUUUUGAAAUAUGGGAAUAAUAAAGGUAACACCCUUCCCCCCUCAAAUGUUUUCCAUUCACUUAAGUGACAUGAGGAAGAAGAGGCUGCGUCUCGCAGGCUGUCAGUUCUUAUAUAAAAAGAAGGCAGCAAUGUG